CAACGCGACCCCAGGUCAGGCGGGGCUACCCGCUGAGUUUAAGCA
RNAcentral lists this ribosomal RNA (45 nucleotides) under Ficus albert-smithii. RNAcentral's name for it is "partial 28S ribosomal RNA". Lineage: Eukaryota; Viridiplantae; Streptophyta; Magnoliopsida; Rosales; Moraceae. The record is from RNAcentral.